UACAGAGGUCUCAAGCGUUGUUCGGAUUCAUUGGGCGUAAAGGGUGCGUAGGCGGCGCGGUAAGUCGGGUGUGAAAUCUCGGGGCUUAACUCCGAAACUGCAUUCGAUACUGCCGUGCUUGAGGACUGGAGAGGAGACUGGAAUUUACGGUGUAGCGGUGAAAUGCGCAGAUAUCAGGAGGAACACCGGUGGCGAAGGCGGAUCUCUGGGCCAUUACUGACGCUGAGGAGCGAAAGCGUGGGGAGCGAACAGG
Molecule: ribosomal RNA, 253 nt
Filed under: uncultured bacterium
Lineage: Bacteria
Description: partial 16S ribosomal RNA
Rfam family: Bacterial small subunit ribosomal RNA
Source: RNAcentral